ACAGAAAUCGAGGUGCAAGCUCAAAAAGAGAUGGGACCAGCAGCCAACAUGCUGAGAAUUUAGUAAGGAAUCACGGAAAAGAUAAAGAUUCAAGACAGAAGCAUGGCCACGAGGAAGGCUCUUCCGUGUGGUGGAAGCUGGACCAGAGGCCGGGAGGCGAGGAAACUGUGGAAAUUGAAAAGGAAGAAACUGAUUUAGAAAAUGCUAGAGCUGAUGCAUAUACAGCCAGUUGUGAAGAUGAUUUUGAAGACUAUGAAGAUGACUUUGAGGUUUGUGAUGGCGAUGAUGAUGAAAGCAGUAAUGAACCUGAGUCAAGAGAAAAACUGAAAGAACUUCCUCUAGCUCAAAAAAAGGAAAUACAAGAAAUUCAAAGAGCUAUUAAUGCAGAAAAUGAAAGGAUUGGGGAGUUAUCUUUGAAACUGUUUCAGAAGCGAGGUAGAACAGAAUUUGAAAAGGAGCCCAGGACAGGUAAACAAAUCAAUGCUACUAAUGGUGUCCGUGCUCUUAGGGCUCUGUGUACUGAGCCCUCACAGAUGCUGUCACACACAGGCCUACUCUAAUAAGGUGGGCGGAGCAGUAACAUCUUCCACAUGCUGGUGGUGCCAUGCCCUUGCAGCUACCACAUAGGAGGCCCCUGAAGACUUGAGCACGAGCCCAUCCAGAAUUCUCUUACACAGAGAAGUUGCACGUCACUUUCUGCUCAGCACCCAGGCCUUAGGUUAGCCGAGGGCGCCGUGGCCCCACUCAGUGAGCACUGAUGCUCCUGUUCUCCAGAGGGAGCGGAGGAUGCUGUGGCCCUCCUCAGUGGGAAGCCUGGCUCGUGUUUUCUUUGCAACCAGCGUUUUAUCCGUCUGUGAGCACAUGCUCUUAUUUUUCCUGAUGAUGUGCUCGUUGAGUUUCCACAGAGGAAUCAUCAUGGUUUUCCCUGGAGGCGUGGCAGUGUCCACUGAUGAGUGCCUUCAUGAGGCACGUGGGGACUGAGGGGUCGAGGUGCCUGUCAAGUCUUGGGACACAGCUGGACUGAGCCUGACACGAAGCAUGCUCUUGAUCCAUUCUUUUUUUCCUACAAGGACCUUUUUAAAUUAAAUUUAGAAAUGUAUUUUUUCUCCAAAUUCUUGGCAUCAGGAUAUAAUGUUACUUGUGAGAGUAGGAAUUAAUGUUUCAAAUUGCUUUAAAGGAAAACUGUGACAUUCUGAUAAAACAUGGGCACUGAGGAUAAAAUAGGAUAAUAUUAAAAUACUAUUUGAUGACAUACUACUUUAAAUUAUCUAGUAAAAUAUUCAGUAAUUGAUGCAGUUAAUUACAGUUAGUAAUUAAUAUGAUGCACUAAUACAAAUGAAGGUUUUGCAGAAUGAUUCUUUGUCUCACAUUUUGUGCCUGCUACAGAGGUGGCAGAACUCAGCUGGGCAGUGCUGAUAGAGCGUUCUUUAAACUUACAGCUAAAGGACACCUGUCCUGGUAGAGGUAAGGAUCUGCCCCUUCUUCAGCCCUGUCGCCUGGCUGAGGCUCAGGGACUGUUUCCCUCAGUUCCCCGUGGGGUAGCGCUGCACACAGGGAGGGUCUUUGUGCCACCAGCACACAGGAUUUCCUGACAGCAUUAAAGCUCGUCUGCUCUGGAGUUGCUGAGACGCGAGCAGGAUUUUAUUCUUAACGUUACUGGUUUUCUUAGCAGAUCUUUGAAUAACCUUUUUUUGUUACUCAUUUUCAACAUUUAUGCUUAGUGUUAUAUCUUUAUUAGCCUGAUUUACAAGAUUAGAAUUUACAACUCUCAAUAUGAGAUUAUUUUUGGCAUAUUUCUUAUUUGAAGGAGUUAUUCACUGUCAUACACAUUGCUCCAGGUAAAGCUGGAGCUGCUUUCUUGGCCCUGUUUAAUGUUGAGCUGGCACAGGUGGACGGUCGUAAAGACUAGCACAGUGUUGACAUCACGGUCUGUGCUGAAGCAGGAAUCACGGAGCCGUGCUGACUCCGGGGUUUCAGAUAACUGACUAGCUGUGUGAUCUUGGGCAGUUACUUAACCUCUCUGUGCCUCAUUGUCCUUAACUGUGAAAUGAGUGUCAGACUUUCUUUAGGGUUGUUGUGAAGAUUAAUUAAGCAAGCUAAACAUGGAAGGUGCUUAAAGGAGUGCCAGGCACGUUCUGAGUGCUAAGCACCGGUUUGUUUUCUGUGUCCUCCUUGGCUGUACUCUGCCACACCCUGUGGUGCUUGGACUACUUGGUUAUAAACUGCACACCUUAUCCUUUUUUAGGGCAGUAAGAAACCGUUUGGUAAAUAACUUUUUCCUGUGCACUAAAGUUACACCAUGGCGUUUGAAAGCCUUUGUACAAUUCCAAAAGGUAAAUGGUCCACUUGGUCAGUGAAGGAGUCUUUGCUGAGCGCCAAUGACUUGCACAGAGGUAUGCACUCUGCUCCAGGGAUGUCUUUAUUCAAGUCUUAAUUCUGUAACUUUAAAGGUUUUCUCAUUUUUAAAAACAGUCACAUCUUAUAAUGUCUGUGUGGUGCUUUCUAAUUGCUCAUAAACGUGGCCUCCUGUGGUCUGGUCCUUAUCACAGUCCUGUACGGCAGAUGUCCAGCAAUAAGGGAACUGAGAUGCAGAGAUGAGGUAACCUCCCAUGGUCAUGAAGCAAGUAGCGGACAGUGCUGGGACUUGAGCUCAGGCCCCUGACCCAGACAGGCAUCCUCCAGAGCCACACCCUCUGCAUUGCUGGCCUUAAAGCUUUGUUGUGAAGAUCAGAUGAGAUAAUGUGUGGGAAAGGGCUCUGAGUUUCAUAAAACCCUAAGACGGGAGGGCAAGUGCAAACCGAUAUCCAAAAGGAAUGAAAAGACGAUAAGAUGCGGUAGAAAUAAAUAUACAAACAAAUAAACACACGGGUAAGUAUGUACAGGAAGCCACCGAAGUCCUCAGGGGGAAGAGGUGGAUUGAGGGAUGACUUGUGUCCAUUACAAAGGAUUGGGGAUGGAGUUGUUUGUUCUUGUCUUUCUUUUUUUUUUUGAGACAGAGUCACUAUGUCUCCCGUGCUGGAGUAGAGUGGCAUGAUCUCGGCUCACUGCAACCUCCAUUUCCUGGAUUCAAGCGAUUCUUCUGCUUCAGCCUCCCGAGUAGCUGGGACUACAGAUACAAACAGUUCCCCUUCCAGAGCCUCCGUUUGUGGAAUUUUUGUGGAUUUUGCCUCAGCUUCACACCGUCAAAAGAGUCGGACUCAGGCCCUUAAGCAAAAGAUGCGAAGUACAAAACUGCUUCGGCUCAUUGACUUAGAUUUUUCAUUUACUUUCUCUCUCUUGGAUCUACCACCAGUAAAUGAAUAUGACAUGUAUAUCAGAAACUUUGGGAAAAAAAAUACCAAGCAGGCAUAUGUUCAGUGUAACGAAGAUAAUGUUGAAAGAGACAUUCAAACGGAGGAAAUAGAGACCAGGGAAGUGUGGACCCAGCACCCAGGAGAAAGUACUGUUGUGUCUGGAGGCAGUGAACAAAGAGAUACCUCUGAUGCUGUAGUUAUGCCAAAGAUUGAUACUCCAAGGUUAUGUAGCUUUCUGCGGGUGGCUUGUCAGGUGAUGGCCGUUUUGCUGGAAGAGGAUCGCUUGGCAGCUGAACCCAGCUGGAAUCUUAGGGCUCAAGACAGGGCCCUGUAUUUUAGUGACAGCUCAUCUCAGCUGAACACCAGUCUGCCAUUCCUUCAAAAUCGAAAAGUAUCCUCCUUGCACACCUCCCGAGUUCAGAGGCAGAUGGUGGUCUCCGUUCACGACUUACCCGAGAAGAGCUUUGUGCCCCUGCUGGACAGCAAAUACGUCCUCUGUGUGUGGGAUAUUUGGCAGCCUUCAGGGCCACAGAAGGUUCUGAUAUGUGAGUCCCAGGUCACGUGUUGCUGCUUGAGCCCUUUGAAAGCAUUUUUACUGUUUGCCGGAACAGCGCACGGCUCGGUUGUCGUCUGGGAUUUGAGAGAAGACUCAAGGCUGCAUUACUCUGUGACGCUGAGCGAUGGCUUCUGGACGUUCCGGACCGCCACGUUUUCCACCGAUGGAAUCCUUACCUCAGUAAACCACCAAAGCCCUCUUCAAGCAGUAGAACCUAUCUCAACGUCCAUCCACAAAAAGCAGAGCUUUGUGCUUUCACCCUUUUCUACUCAAGAAGAAAUGUCAGGUUUGUCCUUCCACAUCGCUUCCUUGGAUGAGAGUGGGGUUCUCAAUGUGUGGGUGGUUGUUGAAUUACCAAAGGCAGACAUCGCAGGUUCAAUAAGUGAUUUAGGUCUGAUGCCUGGAGGGAGGGUCAAGCUGGUACAUAGUGCUCUGAUCCAGUUGGGUGACAGUCUUUCCCAUAAAGGUAAUGAAUUUUGGGGCACUACACAAACACUGAAUGUUAAAUUUCUGCCUUCAGAUCCUAAUCACUUUAUUAUUGGCACAGACAUGGGUUUCAUAAGCCAUGGCACAAGACAAGAUUUGAGAGUGGCUCCCAAACUAUUCAAACCUCAGCAACAUGGUAUAAGACCAGUGAAAGUUAAUGUCAUUGAUUUUUCACCAUUUGGAGAACCGAUAUUUUUGGCCGGCUGUUCGGACGGAAGCAUCAGGCUGCACCAGCUGAGCUCCGCGUUUCCGCUCCUGCAGUGGGACAGCAGCACGGACAGCCAUGCGGUCACCGGCCUGCAGUGGUCCCCAACCAGGCCUGCUGUAUUCCUGGUGCAGGACGACACAUCCAACAUCUACAUCUGGGACCUCCUCCAGAGCGAUCUGGGUCCUGUCGCCAAACAGCAGGUCUCCCCCAACAGGCUGGUGGCCAUGGCUGCGGUGGGUGAGCCCGAGAAGGCUGGUGGCAGCUUCCUGGCCCUGGUGCUGGCCAGGGCGUCUGGCUCCAUCGACAUCCAGCACCUGAAGAGGCGGUGGGCGGCCCCGGAGGUGGACGAGUGCAACAGGCUGCGUCUGCUUUUGCAGGAAGCCCCAUGGCCAGAGGGAAAACUGCACAAGUAGCGGGUGUGGCUGAGAGGACGGCGUUUCUGUAAUGACCCAGAUUUAAAAGACAUAAGGUGGAUAAUUCUACAUUUGUGUGCAAGUAUAUUUAUGUAUAUAGACUAUGUAUAUUCUGUAUAUAAUUUAUUUUACAGGAAUAUUUCUUUGGUAUUCCCAGUAAAUACAUGACUACUUUUGAAUGGAAACAAAGAACAUUCUAGCAUUUACAAAACUUCCAGGGGAAUGUAGAGCCACGUCCAGGGUGCUCUUUUCUGAGAGUAUUUCGAGUUAUUUUUAGAACAGUUUAAAUAUUGUCACAUUACUGCUAGAUUUUAAACAGCCUACCAUGAAAAUGUAUCUUAAUGAACUAUUUUCUUAUGCAUAAAGUAUGUGAACACACGUCUAAAUUAAAAGGAAUUACUCCACCGAAA
RNAcentral lists this small RNA (5366 nucleotides) under Pan troglodytes (chimpanzee). RNAcentral's name for it is "retained intron". The record is from RNAcentral. Lineage: Eukaryota; Metazoa; Chordata; Mammalia; Primates; Hominidae.